GACGAACGCUGGCGGCGUGCCUAAUACAUGCAAGUAGAACGCUGAAGGAGUAGCUUGCUUCUCUGGAUGAGUUGCGAACGGGUGAGUAACGCGUAGGUAACCUGCCUGGUAGCGGGGGAUAACUAUUGGAAACGAUAGCUAAUACCGCAUAAUAGUAGAUGUUGCAUGACAUUUGCUUAAAAGGUGCAAUUGCAUCACUACCAGAUGGACCUGCGUUGUAUUAGCUAGUUGGUGGGGUAACGGCUCACCAAGGCGACGAUACAUAGCCGACCUGAGAGGGUGAUCGGCCACACUGGGACUGAGACACGGCCCAGACUCCUACGGGAGGCAGCAGUAGGGAAUCUUCGGCAAUGGACGGAAGUCUGACCGAGCAACGCCGCGUGAGUGAAGAAGGUUUUCGGAUCGUAAAGCUCUGUUGUAAGAGAAGAACGAGUGUGAGAGUGGAAAGUUCACACUGUGACGGUAUCUUACCAGAAAGGGACGGCUAACUACGUG
This 495-nucleotide ribosomal RNA is filed under the name uncultured bacterium. RNAcentral describes it as "partial 16S ribosomal RNA". It matches the Rfam family "Bacterial small subunit ribosomal RNA", at positions 28 to 507 of the family's 1533-position model. The record is from RNAcentral.